Molecule: ribosomal RNA, 247 nt
Filed under: uncultured bacterium
Lineage: Bacteria
Description: partial 16S ribosomal RNA
Rfam family: Bacterial small subunit ribosomal RNA
Source: RNAcentral
AUACGGAGGAUCCGAGCGUUAUCCGGAUUUAUUGGGUUUAAAGGGUGCGUAGGCGGAUUGGAAAGUCAGCGGUGAAAGUUUGCAGCUUAACUGUAAAAUUGCCAUUGAAACUGUCAGUCUUGAGUGCAAAUGAGGUAGGCGGAAUGUGUUGUGUAGCGGUGAAAUGCAUAGAUAUCACGCAGAACUCCGAUUGCGAAGGCAGCUUACUAAGCUACAACUGACACUGAAGCACGAAAGCGUGGGGAUC